This 69-nucleotide transfer RNA is filed under the name Sorineuchora formosana. Its description in RNAcentral is "tRNA-Gln". The record is from RNAcentral. Lineage: Eukaryota; Metazoa; Arthropoda; Insecta; Blattodea; Pseudophyllodromiidae.
UACAUUUUGGUGUAUGAUGCACGUGAAUUUUUGAUAUUUGAGGGAAUAGUUUAAUUCUGUUGGAUGUAA